CAGCCCCUCGAGGGGUGGGGAUGAUUAUUUGGCCUAAAGCGUCCGUAGCCUGCUCUGUAAAUCGCUCGUUAAAUCCAGCGUCCUAAGCGUUGGGCUGCGAGGGAGACUGCAGAGCUAGAGGGUGGGAGAGGUCAGCGGUAUUCCUGGGGUAGGGGCGAAAUCCAUUGAUCCCAGGAGGACCACCAGUGGCGAAGGCUGCUGACUAGAACACGCCCGACGGUGAGGGACGAAAGCUGGGGUAGCGAAUCGGAUUAGAUACCCGAGUAGUCC
This 270-nucleotide ribosomal RNA is filed under the name uncultured archaeon. Its description in RNAcentral is "partial 16S ribosomal RNA". It matches the Rfam family "Archaeal small subunit ribosomal RNA", at positions 477 to 747 of the family's 1478-position model. The record is from RNAcentral.